Molecule: long non-coding RNA, 2119 nt
Organism: Papaver somniferum (opium poppy)
Lineage: Eukaryota; Viridiplantae; Streptophyta; Magnoliopsida; Ranunculales; Papaveraceae
Exons: 3
Source: RefSeq, a predicted model, not a curated record
UUCUUUCAUUCAGCCGACAAUACUCUUCUUCCUUCUCUCUUCUAUUUCUGAAAUUGAAUAAAGACGCUGAUGAUGUUGAAAUCAAGAGCUUUUGUUGGUGGUCUGAGUUGGAUGAGAAGCAAAAAUUAAGGGUUUAACAGUUUAGAGAUCAGUGGGUAUUCAUCAAACGAAGUUUGAGAGCAAAGAAGAAAAGGGGUUUUGGGGUUCCUGAAUUCUCAAAGUUCGACAGAGAAGAGGGUGUUGCUAAUCGAAUUACAGAAGAAGAAUAAGUGGAUUUGAAUGAAAGUUUCAUAGCAAGGGAUAUAUUGAGGUUUUGUGGUCAAGUAAUAGAUGGGUUUGAUGAUUCGAGGGGCUUGGAAGGAAGAGAAGAACAUGGAGAAAUUAUACAGGGUUAGGGUUUGAUUUGAGCAGAAAUUCAUGGGGUUAUGAUGAUGAUUGUGCUGAUGGUGAAUGAAAUUGGAGCAAUUAAUGAUGAUUUAAGGUUCUUAGAAGAAGAAUCUAGGUCGAUUUCAGAUUCCAGUGUUGAAUUGAUGAUGUUUGCGAUUUUGUUCGAGCAAGUAAUGGGUUGUCUUCAAUGCACACUGUUGCAUCUCUUGGGAAUAUGAAGUCUCUUCCGUAAGAUAUUAUGUUAGAGAUACUUUCUCGGUGCCACUUGAGUCUGUUUACGAGUGCAAACUAGUAUGCAAAAAGCACUUCAUUCGUCAGCUUCACCGGCUGUAUGAUAAAUAUGGCAAUAAUGAUGACAUCGCUGCUACAGAAGAGGUGGACUUAGAUGAUAUUGCAGGUGGCUGCUUAGAUGUAUGCUUAGGUCACAGGAGGUGGAUAUGCGGGUGGCAGUUGGUAUGAGCUGAAUUGAUUGUGCUCGAGUUGGUAAUGCAGUUGCAGUUGGAGCUGUUGAAUCUGUGACCGAGAUGAAGUUGCGGUUAAUGUUGCAGCUGGAUGUUGAGGUUGUUCGAGUCACUGGUGAAUUUUAGAUAUGGAGAAGAAGAUGUUCUCUGCUGGUGAUUGUAUAAUGGAAUGGGUUGCAAUUGCAGUCCAUGUUAAUGGAGGAGAUGAACUGUAGAUGUAUGCUUAGGAAUGAAUUGGUACAGUGUGAAUACAAGACUGAGAAAGUGAUGGUUUGAUGUUCAAUAUAUGUAUGUUAGGAAUUUAAAGAGAGGUGUUGCUUGAAUUGUAAGGAUUUGAGUUGGAUUACUUAGCUCAAACUGGUGACAUUACAAGCUGAGUCAAAGAUGUAAGCAGAGAGGGGUCUCAACUGAAGUUACAGUGAGAUGGUUGGUGAUACUUCCAUGGCUAGGUAGUGAUGAAUUCAAGAUUUAGUUGACGAAGAUGUUAUUAUUGAGGCUUAAUGGUAAGCGAAGUACAUGAUUGUGCUGGUAUGGAGUAAGGGAAGACAAUGGAUGCGCAGGUCUGAAUUGCAGGUGAUGGUGAGAAGUUGUGGGAUUGAAGCUAUAGAAGACUGAAGAGAUGGAGGUAAUUAUGGAGUUGGUAUGGUGAAGCUGAAAGAGCUGUAUUUGUUGCAAUUCAUGGAAGUAAUGUAUUGCAGGAAGUUUUGAGGUUAUGCAGUUGAGAUUUAAAUCAAGGAUGAAGCAGCUGAGAGUACAGGAAUUGCAGGAGUUAGAGAAAUGCAAUGAUGUGCUGAAUGUAUAUGAACUGAGCAUGAGAAUGGUUGAAAGCAUGUUGGUUGACUGCUUUGUAUUGUAGAGCAUGGUGAAGUGGAGUUGAUUUGGAGCAGCAGAAGAAGGGGCCAUUACGGCUGGGACUAGACUCGACUCGGCGUUUCAAAUCAAUGAUUCAAGGAAAUCCAACUCUACUCAGGAGGAGGGGCUUUUUGGGUAUUUCGACCUGCCACCUAAGCGUUAACAGUUGUUAACUGUCGUAUACCGUUUUCUGAAUAAAACGGUCAAGGCAAGGGUACUUUAACAAAUUUAAAAAAACAUGGGCAUUUUUUUAGUGUAAUGUUAAAAGUAGGGGUACUUUAUCAAAAAGCCCUAAAUCAAUUCAUGCUAUUGUUACAAACGACCCUAGCAAAGGUGAGUGGUUCCUAUCUUGUGUUUACGGAACACCUUAUAAAAAAGAUCAACAAGUCCAAUGGUCUAGUUUUCUGGAUCUUACUAAA